RNAcentral lists this ribosomal RNA (777 nucleotides) under Laodemonax forticornis. RNAcentral describes it as "partial large subunit ribosomal RNA". It matches the Rfam family "Eukaryotic large subunit ribosomal RNA", at positions 47 to 658 of the family's 3401-position model. The record is from RNAcentral. Lineage: Eukaryota; Metazoa; Arthropoda; Insecta; Coleoptera; Cerambycidae.
UAAGCGGAGGAAAAGAAACUAACUAGGAUUCCCUCAGUAGCUGCGAGCGAACAGGGAAGAGCCCAGCACCGAAUCCCGCGGCCGAUAUCGGACGCCGGGAAAUGUGGUGUUAGGGAGGAUCCGUUUAUCCCGAGGUCGUGCGGUGCGUCCAAGUCCUUCUUGAACGGGGCCACAGCCCAUAGAGGGUGCCAGGCCCGUAGCGACCGCUGCCGAUCGCGGGAGGAUCUCUCCUCAGAGUCGGGUUGCUUGAGAGUGCAGCCCUAAGCGGGUGGUAAACUCCAUCUAAGGCUAAAUACGACCACGAGACCGAUAGCGAACAAGUACCGUGAGGGAAAGUUGAAAAGCACUUUGAAGAGAGAGUUCAAGAGUACGUGAAACCGUUCAGGGGUAAACCUGAGAAGCCCGAAAGGUCGAAUGGGGAAAUUCAUUCGCGUCUCGCGCGUCGUCCGCGCCUUCCGUUCUUCGAUCCGGCGUCGAACGCGUGCACUUUUCCCCUAGUAGGACGUCGUGAUCCGUUGGGUGUCGGUCCUCGCGGUGGAGCCCGUGCGGUCGCUUCGCACGGACCCGCGGUGUCCCGGCCGACUCGCUCGACGGUAUACAGAUGGCGAGGGGCCGCUAUUCAGUUAGCGUUCGACCCGCGGCAAGCGCGUUCGCGACGGCGAUCGGACCUGGUGCCGGUCCCGUCCGCGAACGACUGUUGGCCGCGCUCGAACAGACCUCGACGAAACGCCGAUCUGCGACGCUAUAGCUUUGGGUACUUUCAGGACCCGUCUUGAA